This 1375-nucleotide ribosomal RNA is filed under the name Simianus niponicus. RNAcentral's name for it is "16S ribosomal RNA". The stretch from base 625 to 1375 matches the Rfam family "Archaeal large subunit ribosomal RNA", at positions 1423 to 2881 of the family's 2987-position model. The record is from RNAcentral. Lineage: Eukaryota; Metazoa; Arthropoda; Insecta; Coleoptera; Callirhipidae.
AUUAAAGAGGUAAUCGUGCAAUUCGAUUUAAUUUGAAUUAAUUUAUUUAUUUAAUUAGUUUUUUGAAAUAUCUUUUUUUUUUAUUAUUUUUAAUGAAAUAAUUGUUUUUAUUAUAGAGUAAUAGUAAAGUGAUUGAAUAUUAAAAUAUAAUGAAAAUUUAAAUUUUCAAAAGAAAAAUUAGUUUUUUGUACCUUGUGUAUCAGGGUUUAUUAAUUUUUUAUUAAAGAUUUAAUUUUCUCGAAUUAAGAAGAGUUAAUUUAUAAUUUAUUUUAUUGUUAAAUAAAUAUUUAGAAUUAUAGGUUAGGGGAGAAAUUUUAAUCGUUUCUUAAUAUAUCUAGUUUUUUGGGAAAUAAGUUUAAUUUAUUAAUUUAUAAUAUUUUUUUAUUAGUUUAAUUUAAUAUUAGUAGUUAAUUAUUUCUGAGGGGAUAAGCUUUUGGGAAUAUUGUUAAAAUUUGUAUUUUGUAUUAUGAGUUGUAGAAUUAGAAUUGUUUAUCAUUUUGAGGAUGUUAUAAUUUAUUUAUUUGAAUAUAAUUUAUUAUUAUUUAGAUUUUUUACUGAAAAGUUAAUUUUAAUUUAGUUUUUUAAGUUAUAAUGAUAGAAUUAGUAUAAUUUAAUGUAUUUAUAAGUUUAAUUGUUAGGUUAUGUAAAGGAACUCGGCAAAUUAAUUUUUCGCCUGUUUAAUAAAAACAUGUCUUUUUGAUUAUGAUUUAAAGUCUGGCCUGCCCGUUGAUAGUAAUUAAAUGGCUGCAGUAUUUUGACUGUACUAAGGUAGCAUAAUAAUUAGUUUUUUAAUUGAAAACCAGAAUGAAUGGCUGAACGAGAAAGAAACUGUCUCUAUUUAAUUUAAAUUAAAAUUUAAUUUUUAAGUGAAAAAGCUUAAAUAAUUAUAAAAGACGAGAAGACCCUAUAGAGUUUUACAUUAUAAAUAAAGUAAAUUUAUUGGAAAUUGAAAAUUUUUUUAUAAUAAUGUUUUGUUGGGGUGACAGUAAGAUUGAUUAAACUCUUAUUAAUAAAAUCAUUAAUUUAUGUAUUAUUGAUCUAAUUUUUUAAUUAAAAGAAUAAAUUACCUUAGGGAUAACAGCGUAAUCUUUUUAGAGAGUUCUUAUCGAAAUUAAGGGUUGCGACCUCGAUGUUGGAUUAAAGUUAAUUUUUGGCGUAAAGGCUAAAAAUAUUAAGUCUGUUCGACUUUUAAAACUUUACAUGAUCUGAGUUUAAACCGGUGUGAGCCAGGUUGGUUUCUAUCUUUAUUUAAUUAAAAUGCUUUAGUACGAAAGGACCAAGUAUUUCAUAAAUUAUGUGUUUAUUUGAAUAAGUAUUAGUUACUUUGGCAGAUUAGUGCAAUGGAUUUAGAAUCUAUUUAUGUAGUUUAUAUACA